RNAcentral lists this ribosomal RNA (437 nucleotides) under uncultured bacterium. RNAcentral describes it as "bacterial SSU rRNA". It matches the Rfam family "Bacterial small subunit ribosomal RNA", at positions 343 to 797 of the family's 1533-position model. The record is from RNAcentral.
AGGAGGCAGCAGUGGGGAAUAUUGGACAAUGGGCGAAAGCCUGAUCCAGCAAUGCCGCGUGAGUGAUGAAGGCCUUAGGGUUGUAAAGCUCUUUUACCAGGGAUGAUAAUGACAGUACCUGGAGAAUAAGCUCCGGCUAACUCCGUGCCAGCAGCCGCGGUAAUACGGAGGGAGCUAGCGUUGUUCGGAAUUACUGGGCGUAAAGCGCGCGUAGGCGGUUUUUCAAGUCAGAGGUGAAAGCCCGGAGCUCAACUCCGGAACUGCCUUUGAAACUGGAUUACUUGAAUCUUGGAGAGGUCAGUGGAAUUCCGAGUGUAGAGGUGAAAUUCGUAGAUAUUCGGAAGAACACCAGUGGCGAAGGCGACUGACUGGACAAGUAUUGACGCUGAGGUGCGAAAGCGUGGGGAGCAAACAGGAUUAGAAACCCCUGUAGUCCG